GAUGAACGCUGGCGGCGUGCCUAAUACAUGCAAGUCGAGCGAACGGACUAGAAGCUUGCUUCUCUGAUGUUAGCGGCGGACGGGUGAGUCACACGUGUAUAACCUACCUAUAAGACUGGGAUAACUUCGGGAAACCGUAGCUAAUACCGUAUAAUAUUUUGAACCGCAUGGUGCAAAAGUGAAAGACGGUCUUGCUGUCACUUAUAGAUGGAUCCGCGCUGCAUUAGCUAGUUGGUAAGGUAACGGCUUACCAAGGCAACGAUGCAUAGCCGACCUGAGAGGGUGAUAGGCCACCCUGGAACUGAGACACGGUCCAGACUCCUACGGGAGGCAGCAGUAGGGAAUCUUCCGCAAUGGGCGAAAGCCUGACGGAGCAACGCCGCGUGAGUGAUGAAGGUCUUCGGAUCGUAAAACUCUGUUAUUAGGGAAGAACAUAUGUGUAAGUAACUGUGCACAUCGUGACGGUACCUAAUCAGAAAGCCACGGCUAACUACGUG
RNAcentral lists this ribosomal RNA (497 nucleotides) under uncultured bacterium. RNAcentral's name for it is "partial 16S ribosomal RNA". It matches the Rfam family "Bacterial small subunit ribosomal RNA", at positions 28 to 507 of the family's 1533-position model. The record is from RNAcentral.